GCCGGGGUGGCGGAAUUGGUAGACGCGAUGGAUUCAAAACCCAUUACCGCAAGGUGUGAGAGUUCGAUUCUCUCUCCCGGCA
RNAcentral lists this transfer RNA (82 nucleotides) under Minisyncoccota bacterium. RNAcentral's name for it is "tRNA-Leu". It matches the Rfam family "tRNA". Rfam says of the family: Transfer RNA (tRNA) molecules are approximately 80 nucleotides in length. Their secondary structure includes four short double-helical elements and three loops (D, anti-codon, and T loops). Further hydrogen bonds mediate the characteristic L-shaped molecular structure. tRNAs have two regions of fundamental functional importance: the anti-codon, which is responsible for specific mRNA codon recognition, and the 3' end, to which the tRNAs corresponding amino acid is attached (by aminoacyl-tRNA synthetases). tRNAs cope with the degeneracy of the genetic code in two manners: having more than one tRNA (with a specific anti-codon) for a particular amino acid; and 'wobble' base-pairing, i.e. permitting non-standard base-pairing at the 3rd anti-codon position. The record is from RNAcentral. Lineage: Bacteria; Bacillati; Minisyncoccota.